CCUACGGGAGGCAGCAGUGGGGGAUAUUGCACAAUGGGGGAAACCCUGAUGCAGCGACGCCGCGUGGGCGAAGAAGUAUUUCGGUAUGUAAAGCCCUAUCAGCAGGGAAGAAGAAAUGACGUUACCUGAGUAUGAAGCACCGCCUAAAUACGUGCCAGCAACCGCGGUAAUACGUAUGGUGCAAGCGUUAUCCGGCUUUACUGGGGGUAAAGGGAGCGCAGGCGGCACGGCAAGCCUGUUGUGAAAGCCCGCGGCCCAACGGCGGGACUGCAUGGGGUACUACCCGGCUAGAGUGCCGGAGAGGUAGGCGGAAUUCCUAGUGUAGCGGUGAAAUGCGUAGAUAUUAGGAAGAACACCAGAGGCGAAGGCAGCCUACUGGACGGUGACUGACGCUGAGGGUCGAAAGCGUGGGGAGCAAACAGGAUUAGAUACCCCAGUAGUC
This 442-nucleotide ribosomal RNA is filed under the name uncultured bacterium. Its description in RNAcentral is "partial 16S ribosomal RNA". It matches the Rfam family "Bacterial small subunit ribosomal RNA", at positions 338 to 795 of the family's 1533-position model. The record is from RNAcentral.